GCCUCCCAAAGUGUUAGGAUUACAGGCAUGAGCCACCACGCCCUGACGGGACAGUGGUUUUAAAAGGCAGGUGCCAGCCUUUGUUAAGAAAGGUGUGUAAGAAUCUGUAGAUCUAAAGCAACAGGCCGCACCUCUGAACAUUCCAUGGAAGCAGGAAGGGAGCAAGCCCCACUCCUGAGCUGAGACAGGUGGGGGUGGAGGGCAGGGUUCACAUAGGAGAUGGCUCAGCCUCUGCCCAGGGAGCGCCCCACCUUCGCCAGGGCGGGGAGGAGCAUACGGCACCCAGUGCUUGCGUACACCCCUGCGUGCGUGGAGCUGCCUAGGGCCUCCCUGUCACCAGCCCUCACUGCUGUCCAGCCCCUGCCUACAGGCCCCCAGUGGCUGCCACGGUCCUAUGCGGAGACUUUGCUCAGUUUCAUCCAAGGUUUCGCCAAUGCCCUUCAAUAGCUGAGGAUAUACGAAAGGCUCCCCGAGCAAAGGCUGGGGCCCCAGGGGGCCGGGGAGAAGGUCGCCGAGGCACACAUGGGAGGGAGUGGACAGAAGAGCACAGGACUCUGCUGAGGUCUGAACGAGCCCCUCCGGAAUUCAUGUGUUGGAACUUAAUUGCCAGUGUGAAGGUAUUAAGAGCCAGGGCCUUGAGGCAGUGGCAGAACCUCCAGAACGGGAUUCAGGACCUCACAGGAGGUGUGGCAGAGCUGCCUCCUUCCCUUUGUCCUUCCGUCCCUCCGGCCAUGUGAGGACGCAGCCACAGGGCACCAUCUUGGAAGCGGAGACUGGGCCUCCCGAGACCCAAACCAGCUGGCGCCUUGAGCUUGCACUUCCCAGCCUCAGAAGUGAGAAACAAAUGUCUAUUAUUUAUACAUUCCCCAGUCUCAGGUGUUUUGUUACGGCGGCGUACACAGACUAGGAAUCUCCUGCUCCCUCCAGCCCCCACGUCCCCGCACUGCCCCACCCUCCGGGCCGGGACAGAAGUGUGUCCCGCCCCCGUGACAGUGACGUCUCACCAACCUCCAGCCUCCCCCAGGUGAAACAAAACCUUCACCUCCCCCUAAUACAAGCAGCUUCCAUUUUGCUUGUAAAAUCCACAUCUGACGAAGCUGUUCUCCAGCAAAGGGCAGACCUAGCGUGUCUGUCUCUGUCAAAACAAAUAUCAUCAAGCCUGUCAUUGACUUUUUUUUUUUUCUAGAUUCACUAUUUUGGCUAAAUUCCUCAUCAAAAUUGCAAGCUACGAACCUUCUCUACUGGAGUAAUUUUCAGAGGGCAACUGAGUCAUCAUUGUGGAUAAUACAUUUUGAAUCUUGAUGUUUGGAAAGAGGGUCACAAGCACCUGGGACAGCAUCUGGAACUGGUGUUUACACCACGGACGGAUCGUGUGGACAGAUCACGCCAGCAGUGAGGGCUGCGGGAGAACAUGACAAAGCUUCUCUAAGGACACUACUGGUACUCCUGAGGAGCUGUCAAUUACAAAACAAGAAAAGGGAAGGAAGA
Molecule: long non-coding RNA, 1488 nt
Organism: Macaca mulatta (Rhesus monkey)
Lineage: Eukaryota; Metazoa; Chordata; Mammalia; Primates; Cercopithecidae
Source: RefSeq, a predicted model, not a curated record